This 450-nucleotide ribosomal RNA is filed under the name uncultured bacterium. RNAcentral describes it as "bacterial SSU rRNA". It matches the Rfam family "Bacterial small subunit ribosomal RNA", at positions 328 to 793 of the family's 1533-position model. The record is from RNAcentral.
GGUCCAGACUCCUACGGGAGGCAGCAGUGGGGAAUAUUGGGCAAUGGGCGAAAGCCUGACCCAGCAACGCCGCGUGAAGGAAGAAGGCUUUCGGGUUGUAAACUUCUUUUGACAGGGAAGAGCAGAAGACGGUACCUGACUAAGAAGCCCCGGCUAACUACGUGCCAGCAGCCGCGGUAAUACGUAGGGGGCGAGCGUUAUCCGGAUUCACUGGGUGUAAAGGGAGCGUAGACGGUUAUGUAAGUCUGGAGUGAAAGCCCGGGGGCCAACCCCGGGACUGCUUUGGAAACUGUGUAACUGGAGUACAGGAGGGGCAGGCGGAAUUCCUGGUGUAGCGGUGAAAUGCGUAGAUAUCAGGAGGAACACCGGCGGCGAAGGCGGCCUGCUGGACUGAAACUGACGUUGAGGCUCGAAAGCGUGGGGAGCAAACAGGAUUAGAUACCCCUGUAC